CUGAAGGAGCGCAGCAGCUUCAAUACACGCAAUACGGUACAACUCCGCAUUUCCCCCUCCCCUGCGCAGUUCCUCUUCUCCGACGGACACAUUGAACCUGGCAUUGGAGAAUCCAAUCAUUCCAAUCUCCCCGCAAGUUAGUCUGUAGUCGGCAACCUGCAGGACGUGUCGCCGCCGUUCAAUAAACAGCGGUUCGUGUCGGAUUCAAAUUUUAAUGCAUAUGUGUGAUGUAAUUUUGAGAUCAUUUUGAGCCUCAGAUUUGCAAUUUUAAUCUUAAACAUCUGCUUCCUUAGAAUUACUCCGCGUCAUGUAGUUAUUUGUUAUGUUUGUGCUGUGAAAUCGUCUCGUUCAGUAGUGUGAUAAGCCUCAGCGAUUUUGUUUGUUUAUGUACGUAACUCCAUUCAAUUUUCACCUGUAUUGGAAAUCUUAUCAACGAGCAGCAGUUAUUCUCUUAAAGCAGACUCCAGCAUUGGUGCCUCAUGGUCGGAAUAAUCUCUUGGCAAAAAAAUUGCGCCCCAAUCGUGGAAUUAAUCCUGCGCCAAACCCUCCAAGCGAUUUUUUGACCUCUUUACGGUUAGUUCAUUUUUUCUUCUUGCCUUUGAUCAUUUGAUGAACCUCUCAUUGUAUUGCUUAAUCAACAGAGCUCUCGUAGUCAUCCCAGUCAUAUCAGCACUCGGAUCAUUUUGAGGUUCUGCCAUUGCAUGCAGAACGAAUGGUUUUUGAAAACUAUACCCAGCACCUUUUCUCUUAUUAAAACCCGAAGCCCUUCCAUUGAAUGUUGACAAUUCG
Molecule: long non-coding RNA, 789 nt
Filed under: Bemisia tabaci
Lineage: Eukaryota; Metazoa; Arthropoda; Insecta; Hemiptera; Aleyrodidae
Description: lncRNA ENSSSA1NGG013772
Source: RNAcentral